GACGAACGCUGGCGGCGUGCUUAACACAUGCAAGUCGAACGGGAUUUAGUAAACAGAAGCCUCGGUGGUAGAUUACUAAUGAGAGUGGCGAACGGGUGAGUAACGCGUGAGCAACCUGCCUAUGACAGUGGGAUAGCCUCGGGAAACCGGGAUUAAUACCGCAUAAAAUCGUCGAAACACAUGUUUUAACGGUCAAAGAUUUAUCGGUCAUAGAUGGGCUCGCGUCUGAUUAGCUAGUUGGUGAGAUAACAGCCCACCAAGGCGACGAUCAGUAGCCGGUCUGAGAGGAUGAACGGCCACAUUGGAACUGAGACACGGUCCAAACUCCUACGGGAGGCAGCAGUGGGGAAUAUUGCACAAUGGGGGAAACCCUGAUGCAGCGACGCCGCGUGAACGAAGAAGGUAUUCGUAUCGUAAAGUUCUGUCCUAUGGGAAGAUAAUGACAGUACCAUAGAAGAAAGCUCCGGCUAAAUACGUG
RNAcentral lists this ribosomal RNA (478 nucleotides) under uncultured bacterium. Its description in RNAcentral is "partial 16S ribosomal RNA". It matches the Rfam family "Bacterial small subunit ribosomal RNA", at positions 28 to 507 of the family's 1533-position model. The record is from RNAcentral.